AGUUAUUGGAAGAAAAUUAUUUUAAUGAAUAAGUAAAUUUAAACUAUUUUAACAUGGUAUGCUAAUUGAAGUAACAAAUUUAAUGUUGUUCAAAUCAAGAAAUGUAUAGUACAAUAUUCUAAUUACAAUUCAUGCAGUUAUGGCAUAUAAUACCCCAAUCUAGGCAUGCUAGGAGUCAUGGGAGUAAAGAAAUAAUGUAUAUUGCAUUGAACUUGUUUAUAGGUCCUUCUGUUUGUCAAAUAAAACAAUUCAGUCAAACAUUUCACAGGUACAAGUUAACAGAAUUACUUCGUAUUUGGUCAGCAGCUUAACUGUGAUGUGUUGUAACAUGUGAGUAUUUUUUGGAACAGUCAGACUCCUACUUCCUGUUUGCCAAUACUUUUAAUUUUUCAAUAGGUUGAAUGAAAAAAUUUUCCUCACAGGAUUCUCUGGUAGUACUGAACAGGGUGACUUCUUCUUUUGCCAGUAGUUUGGCAUUGAUGAGUUGAAAUGUCUGAGCCCUUUUCAGAUCUGUCAGCCAUCUACUACCGUUUUUCUGGUGCUUUAAUAUAUUCCAGUGGAGGUAUGCUUAGCAGAAUAACACAGCCUCGUAUAACCAUGAUACACAUGAAUCAGGAUGUUGAUGCGUUCGAAUCAAACACACAGUGUAACAUUGAUUUCAGACCGAAAAAACAUUACAUUUUUAAGAAUAUAUUUUGUGGAGGAGGAAACAGUCGGGGCAGAUGACUCUAAAAAUGAGGUCGUUCAGCAUAACAGAUGUACUAUUUGUGUGUAUGCCACUAAAAGAAAGCCAAUCUGAGACGCUGUAAAAAAGAAAGGGUGCAUCAAAAACCAACUCAGGACAGUGUUACACAUACAACAACUAAUAGUGUUCUGUUUGUGGCAAAAUGUUCACAUUAAGAGCUGGAUUAUCAAUCCAUAUCAAGGACAAACACAUAUAUUUUUGAAUACAAAAGUAGCAUGUGUGGUGAUGGCUUCAACUGGUUGAAUUGCAUCAAAACAGAAAAGUGUUGCCUAUGCUAUUUACAUACAUGAAUUCACUGAAAGCUGAUCUACAAAACUUAUGUAACCUCUGUGGUUGUGAGUAUAACUCUUCAAACUCUCUUAGAGAGCACAAGAAAGUUGUUCAUGAAGGUCGCUUAAUUACAUGUAUACCGGUAUGUGGAAAACAGUAUAAAUGGCUAUCAAGUCAUAUAUACUGUUUAACAGUUUUUAAACUAAUACAGAAAAAAACAUAAUAAUAAUAAAAAUGUACAAAUUUGUAGUUAGUUGUUUAAUUUAGUCAUGUUGAUCUCGCCUGAUGAAUGACGCAAAAUGCAAGACAUAAUGAUGGUAAUACAGAUUGAACUCAGUUUCAUGGUAUGUUGGUUUUUGUCUCGCCUGCGACGAAAGUUGUGGAAAGCGAGAUAUAGGGAUUCCUUUGACAGCGACGGCGUCAACAAUUGUUAAGUUUUCUGAUGAAGUUAGUUUGAUAGGAACUGCUUGUGAUAGAUCAAUGAUAUUUUGUAUGAAGUUGCAUUACUAUCAGUACAUAUCAGUUUGAUGACAAUUUUGAGGCCCUGCCCCCUAGGCCAUGGUCCAGUGACUUUGAAUUAAUUAGCCAUUUUCAAUGUUAAGUUUUCUGCUUAAGUUAGUUUGAUAGGAACUACUUGUGAUAGAUCAAUGAUAUUUUGUAUGAAGUUGCAUUACUAUCAGUACAUAUCAGUUUGACGACUAUUUUGAGGCCCUGCCUCUUAGGACAUGGUUCAGUGACUUUCAAUUAAUUAGCAAUUUUCAAUGAUAAGUUUUCUGCUUAAGUUAGUUUGAUAUGAACUACUUGCGAUAGAUCAAUGAUAUUUUCUAUAAAGUUGCAUUACUAUGAUCAGUACAUAUUAGUUUGACGACUAUUUCAAGGCCCUGCCCCCUAGGUCAUGGUCCAGUGACUUUCAAUCAAUUAACAAUUUUCAAUGUUAAGUUUUCUGAUUAAGUUAAUUUGAUAGGAACUACUUACAAUAGACAAUAUUUUCUAUAAAGUUACAUUGCUGUCUGUUCAUCUCAGUUUGUCAACCAUUUUUAGGCCCAAUCCACAAGUUGGUCCAGAGACUUUGAAUUAAUUAGCAAUGUUGCUGUCCAUCAGAUUGUCUUUCAUAUCUCUGUGUCAAUAGUUUAUUAUGAUAAGGUCCAUAUAUCAGGUAUUAAUAUACAAAUUAUAUCACUAUACUCGGUGUAUAAAUGAUUGUAAUACAACAGAUUUUGCCGACAGUAAAUCUGAAAUUUUAAUGCCUUCAAGAUGUUGUUGAAUUUAAGUCCUUUGCAAACAUGUGGAAGUAUUGUUGAUUCAUCUUAGCAAUAAAAUUGGCCAAUAGGUUGUAUACCUCUUGCUGAUAUUGAUUGCUCACUGACACAAGCUUUCAUUUGUCGCUAUGUCCCUGUCAACUUUGACCUCAGGUUUAACAAAUAGGUGAUUUUUUUAAAAAGAAAAGUUCUAUCAAUAUUGAUGUUAUAUUUCACAUUUCUUAUUUUCAGUACCAUGCAACAUGCCAUGCCCCCCCCCCCC
This is a long non-coding RNA of Mytilus californianus (California mussel), 2536 nucleotides long. RefSeq lists it as uncharacterized. The record is from RefSeq and is a predicted model, not a curated record. The transcript is spliced from 2 exons. Lineage: Eukaryota; Metazoa; Mollusca; Bivalvia; Mytilida; Mytilidae.